CGCCUUUGUUACAGUGGCAGGGCCCGACGAGACGCGCCGUACCGGGAUGCAGGCAAAGACGACGCACC
RNAcentral lists this non-coding RNA (68 nucleotides) under Streptomyces sparsogenes. RNAcentral also lists the same sequence under 1 other name. The record is from RNAcentral. Lineage: Bacteria; Bacillati; Actinomycetota; Actinomycetes; Kitasatosporales; Streptomycetaceae.